This 499-nucleotide ribosomal RNA is filed under the name uncultured soil bacterium. RNAcentral's name for it is "bacterial SSU rRNA". It matches the Rfam family "Bacterial small subunit ribosomal RNA", at positions 26 to 524 of the family's 1533-position model. The record is from RNAcentral.
AGAUUGAACGCUGGCGGCAUGCUUUACACAUGCAAGUCGAACGGUAACAGGCCGCAAGGUGCUGACGAGUGGCGAACGGGUGAGUAAUGUAUCGGAACGUGCCCAGUCGUGGGGGAUAACGCAGCGAAAGCUGCGCUAAUACCGCAUACGAUCUAUGGAUGAAAGCGGGGGACCGUAAGGCCUCGCGCGAUUGGAGCGGCCGAUAUCAGAUUAGGUAGUUGGUGGGGUAAAGGCUCACCAAGCCAACGAUCUGUAGCUGGUCUGAGAGGACGACCAGCCACACUGGGACUGAGACACGGCCCAGACUCCUACGGGAGGCAGCAGUGGGGAAUUUUGGACAAUGGGCGCAAGCCUGAUCCAGCAAUGCCGCGUGCAGGAAGAAGGCCUUCGGUUGUAAACUGCUUUUGUACGGAACGAAACGGUCUUGGUUAAUACCUGGGCUAAUGACGGUACCGUAAGAAUAAGCACCGGCUAACUACGUGCCAGCAGCCGCGGUAAC